UAGGGAAUCUUCCACAAUGGGCGCAAGCCUGAUGGAGCAACACCGCGUGAGUGAAGAAGGGUUUCGGCUCGUAAAGCUCUGUUGUUAGAGAAGAACGUGCGUGAGAGCAACUGUUCACGCAGUGACGGUAUCUAACCAGAAAGUCACGGCUAACUACGUGCCAGCAGCCGCGGUAAUACGUAGGUGGCAAGCGUUAUCCGGAUUUAUUGGGCGUAAAGCGAGCGCAGGCGGUUUGAUAAGUCUGAUGUGAAAGCCUUUGGCUUAACCAAAGAAGUGCAUCGGAAACUGUCAGACUUGAGUGCAGAAGAGGACAGUGGAACUCCAUGUGUAGCGGUGGAAUGCGUAGAUAUAUGGAAGAACACCAGUGGCGAAGGCGGCUGUCUGGUCUGCAGCUGACGCUGAGGCUCGAAAGCAUGGGUAGCGAACAGG
Molecule: ribosomal RNA, 429 nt
Filed under: Acidobacteriota bacterium
Lineage: Bacteria; Pseudomonadati; Acidobacteriota
Description: Acidobacteria bacterium partial 16S ribosomal RNA
Rfam family: Bacterial small subunit ribosomal RNA
Source: RNAcentral